Molecule: ribosomal RNA, 433 nt
Filed under: uncultured bacterium
Lineage: Bacteria
Description: partial 16S ribosomal RNA
Rfam family: Bacterial small subunit ribosomal RNA
Source: RNAcentral
AACGAACGCUGGCGGCAUGCCUAACACAUGCAAGUCGAACGAGACCUUCGGGUCUAGUGGCGCACGGGUGCGUAACGCGUGGGAACCUGCCCUUAGGUUCGGAAUAACUCCCCGAAAGGGGUGCUAAUACCGGAUAAUGUCUUCGGCCCAAAGAUUUAUCGCCUUUGGAUGGGCCCGCGUUGGAUUAGCUAGUUGGUAGGGUAAAAGCCUACCAAGGCGACGAUCCAUAGCUGGUCUGAGAGGAUGAUCAGCCACACUGGGACUGAGACACGGCCCAGACUCCUACGGGAGGCAGCAGUGGGGAAUAUUGGACAAUGGGCGAAAGCCUGAACCAGCAAUGCCGCGUGAGUGAUGAAGGCCUUAGGGUUGUAAAGCUCUUUUACCCGGGAUGAUAAUGACAGUACCGGGAGAAUAAGCUCCGGCUAACUCCGUG